This is a non-coding RNA of Maylandia zebra (zebra mbuna), 159 nucleotides long. NCBI's taxonomy places the organism in Eukaryota, Metazoa, Chordata, Actinopteri, Cichliformes, Cichlidae. The record is from RefSeq and is a predicted model, not a curated record.
AAAGGUGCUGCUAAUGAGCAGACGCUCAAUCGGGAUGAAGAUCAGCAGCAAGUGUACUCCUCUCUUCUUCAUGGUGAUCGUUGUGUCUAUGAGACAGUCAGAAGGUGUGAAAACACUGAAAAUGGUCCAGCAGAAGGUGAUUACAACAAUGUCACAUCU